CACCACCCAAACGACCACCACUGUUCCUCCAGUGGUCUGCCAGAAUGGAGGCACCUACGACUCCAUCAAGUGCCUCUGCCUCCCCGACUUCUACGGCCCCUUGUGCGAGUUCUUCAGCGACUCCAUCACCACCGAGCUCCCCAUUGAGGGGACAAUUGUGGCCAACGUGGAGCUGGUGGUGAC
Cygnus olor (mute swan) is the source of this 183-nucleotide long non-coding RNA. RefSeq lists it as uncharacterized. The record is from RefSeq and is a predicted model, not a curated record. Lineage: Eukaryota; Metazoa; Chordata; Aves; Anseriformes; Anatidae. The transcript is spliced from 3 exons.